CCUACGGGGGGCAGCAGUAGGGAAUCUUUCACAAUGGGCGAAAGCCUGAUGGAGCAACGCCGCGUGCAGGAUGAAGGCCUUCGGGUUGUAAACUGCUUUUAUAAGCGAGAAAUAUGAUGGUAACUUAUGAAUAAGGAUCGGCUAACUACGUACCAGCAGCCGCGGUCAUACGUAGGAUCCGAGCAUUAUCCGGAGUGACUGGGUGUAAAGAGUUGCGUAGGUGGCAUAAUAAGUAGCUAGUGAAAUCUGGUGGCUCAACCAUUCAGACUAUUAGCUAAACUGUUAAGCUCGAGACCGUUAGGGGUAACUGGAAUUUCUAAUGUAGGAGUGAAAUCCGUAGAUAUUAGAAGGAACACCAAUAGCGUAGGCAGGUUGCUGGGACGGUUCUGACACUAAGGCACGAAAGCGUAGGGAGCAAACGGGAUUAGAUACCCGAGUAGUC
This 442-nucleotide ribosomal RNA is filed under the name uncultured bacterium. RNAcentral's name for it is "partial 16S ribosomal RNA". It matches the Rfam family "Bacterial small subunit ribosomal RNA", at positions 338 to 795 of the family's 1533-position model. The record is from RNAcentral.